This 62-nucleotide transfer RNA is filed under the name Ovis aries (sheep). It matches the Rfam family "tRNA", at positions 6 to 65 of the family's 71-position model. Rfam says of the family: Transfer RNA (tRNA) molecules are approximately 80 nucleotides in length. Lineage: Eukaryota; Metazoa; Chordata; Mammalia; Artiodactyla; Bovidae. The record is from Rfam by way of RNAcentral.
GAUGGUCCAGUGGUUAGGACUUGGCAUUUUCAUUGCUAUGGGCACAGGUUUGAUCCCUGGUC